CAGUCGCCACGGUAAUACAGAGGGUGCGAGCGUUAAUCGGAUUUACUGGGCGUAAAGCGUGCGUAGGCGGCUUCUUAAGUCGGAUGUGAAAUCCCUGAGCUUAACUUAGGAAUUGCAUUUGAUACUGGGAAGCUAGAGUAUGGGAGAGGAUGGUAGAAUUCCAGGUGUAGCGGUGAAAUGCGUAGAGAUCUGGAGGAAUACCGAUGGCGAAGGCAGCCAUCUGGCCUAAUACUGACGCUGAGGUACGAAAGCAUGGGGAGCAAACAGGAUUAGAUACCCGUGUAGUCCCUGUCUCUUAUAC
RNAcentral lists this ribosomal RNA (301 nucleotides) under uncultured bacterium. Its description in RNAcentral is "partial 16S ribosomal RNA". It matches the Rfam family "Bacterial small subunit ribosomal RNA", at positions 509 to 807 of the family's 1533-position model. The record is from RNAcentral.